ACGUAGGUGGCGAGCGUUAUCCGGAAUUACUGGGCGUAAAGCGCACGCAGGCGGUCUUUUGGGUCUGACGUGAAAGCUCCUGGCUUAACUGGGAGAGGUCGUUGGAAACUGGGAGACUUGAGGCAAUGAGAGGGGUGUGGAAUUCCCGGUGUAGUGGUGGAAUGCGUAGAGAUCCGGAGGAACACCAGAGGCGAAGGCGACACCCUGGGCCGUACCUGACGCUAAGACGCGACAGCACGGGGAGCGAACGG
This 251-nucleotide ribosomal RNA is filed under the name uncultured prokaryote. Its description in RNAcentral is "partial 16S ribosomal RNA". It matches the Rfam family "Bacterial small subunit ribosomal RNA", at positions 525 to 775 of the family's 1533-position model. The record is from RNAcentral.